Molecule: ribosomal RNA, 508 nt
Filed under: Bacillus vallismortis
Lineage: Bacteria; Bacillati; Bacillota; Bacilli; Caryophanales; Bacillaceae
Description: bacterial SSU rRNA
Rfam family: Bacterial small subunit ribosomal RNA
Source: RNAcentral
GGCGCCAGCGCGGCUAACUGCAGUCGAGCGGACAGAUGGGAGCUUGCUCCCUGAUGUUAGCGGCGGACGGGUGAGUAACACGUGGGUAACCUGCCUGUAAGACUGGGAUAACUCCGGGAAACCGGGGCUAAUACCGGAUGCUUGUUUGAACCGCAUGGUUCAAACAUAAAAGGUGGCUUCGGCUACCACUUACAGAUGGACCCGCGGCGCAUUAGCUAGUUGGUGAGGUAAUGGCUCACCAAGGCAACGAUGCGUAGCCGACCUGAGAGGGUGAUCGGCCACACUGGGACUGAGACACGGCCCAGACUCCUACGGGAGGCAGCAGUAGGGAAUCUUCCGCAAUGGACGAAAGUCUGACGGAGCAACGCCGCGUGAGUGAUGAAGGUUUUCGGAUCGUAAAGCUCUGUUGUUAGGGAAGAACAAGUGCCGUUCAAAUAGGGCGGCACCUUGACGGUACCUAACCAGAAAGCCACGGCUAACUACGUGCCAGCAGCCGCGGNUAAUACGA